CAUGGAGGCCACUGGGGUGCUGCCGUUCGUGCGUGGAGUGGACCUCAGCGGCAACGACUUCAAGGGCGGCUACUUCCCUGAGAAUGUCAAGGCCAUGACCAGCCUGCGAUGGCUGAAGCUGAACCGCACUGGCCUCUGCUACCUGCCCGAGGAGCUGGCCGCCCUGCAGAAGCUGGAACACUUGUCUGUGAGCCACAACAACCUGACCACGCUUCACGGGGAGCUGUCCAGCCUGCCAUCGCUGCGCGCCAUCGUGGCCCGAGCCAACAGUCUGAAGAAUUCCGGAGUCCCCGAUGACAUCUUCAAGCUAGAUGACCUCUCAGUCCUGGACUUGAGCCACAACCAGCUGACGGAGUGCCCACGGGAGCUGGAGAACGCCAAGAACAUGCUGGUGCUGAACCUCAGCCACAACAGCAUCGACACCAUCCCCAACCAGCUCUUCAUCAACCUCACUGACCUGCUAUACCUGGACCUCAGCGAGAACCGCCUGGAGAGCCUGCCCCCGCAGAUGCGCCGCCUGGUGCACCUGCAGACGCUCGUGCUCAAUGGAAACCCCCUGCUGCAUGCACAGCUCCGGCAGCUCCCAGCGAUGACGGCCCUGCAGACCCUGCACCUGCGGAGCACCCAGCGUACCCAGAGCAACCUGCCCACCAGCCUGGAGGGUCUGAGCAACCUCGCAGUCAGCCAUUUGCAAGCUGAGCAAGCUGAAGAAGCUGUACCUGAAUUCCAACAAGCUGGACUUUGACGGGCUGCCCUCGGGCAUUGGCAAGCUCACCAACCUG
This 782-nucleotide small RNA is filed under the name Pongo abelii (Sumatran orangutan). RNAcentral's name for it is "processed transcript". The record is from RNAcentral. Lineage: Eukaryota; Metazoa; Chordata; Mammalia; Primates; Hominidae.